GCUCUCAUAGCUCAGUUUGUUAGAGCGCCCGUUUAGUAAGCAGCGGUCUUGAGUUCGACUUUCAACUAGAGCA
RNAcentral lists this transfer RNA (73 nucleotides) under Nicotiana attenuata. It matches the Rfam family "tRNA". Rfam says of the family: Transfer RNA (tRNA) molecules are approximately 80 nucleotides in length. Their secondary structure includes four short double-helical elements and three loops (D, anti-codon, and T loops). Lineage: Eukaryota; Viridiplantae; Streptophyta; Magnoliopsida; Solanales; Solanaceae. The record is from Rfam by way of RNAcentral.